Molecule: long non-coding RNA, 772 nt
Organism: Antrostomus carolinensis (chuck-will's-widow)
Lineage: Eukaryota; Metazoa; Chordata; Aves; Caprimulgiformes; Caprimulgidae
Exons: 5
Source: RefSeq, a predicted model, not a curated record
CUUACUGCAAGUUACAGAAGCCUUGUUUUUUCUGCAAGAGCUAUUCCUCAGCCUACUGCGCUAUCCUGUGUUUUGGAAAGUUCAGUUAUCCCAGUUUUGUCUGCAACUGUUAUGCUUCUGUGAAGUGUGUUUAAAUGUAACAGGAGAAUGCUCAUCUUUGAUCUCCUUAAUAGAGGACAACUUUGAGCUCUUAAAAGAGAUAUUUCCAUCGGAACAGUGUAUAAUUGAGCUAGCACUUCUACUGCUACAAACUCCAGAAAGUCAGCAAAAAUCUAUCUUGAGUCUAGCCUACAAGCUCCUUUCCUGUUCAGAAACCCAAAACAUCUCAACCACAGCCCUUACUUUGGUGAUGCCUUUGCUACAGAUCUUAUCUUCUACAACAGUUGGGGACUGCCUAUCAGUGGAUGAUUCUGGAGCUACCAGGCAGCAACUGGCUGUAAAUCUUUUGGGAAUAUUACAGGAGGAAGGUGUGAAGGAUAACAAGGAAUUGGUGUCCUGCAAACUCCUUUUUCCCAUAACCAGCUCUUACACCUUAUUGUAUACAACCUGGAAGAUCAUAGAGCUCAUGAAAGAGAAGUCUGCAGUUGCUAACUGGUUAUCUUCAGUGAAAUCACUGCUACCUGUUACACCUCAAGUCCCUGCCCAUGUUUUUCUUCUACUGGCUUACCUACUGAUACAAGAAAAUGGAGACAGUCUUCGUGAUGUACUCCAGGCUACUACGGAAAUAGCCAAGGCUGAUUGUUCUCAGGUGAAAACUUACUCCAUUUCUGGU